UACCGGCGGCCCGAGUGGCGGCCGGGUUUAUUGGGCCUAAAGGGUCCGUAGCCGGCCCCGUAAGUCUCCCGGGAAAUCGGGCGGCUCAACCGUCCGCUUCCGGGAGAUACUGCGGGGCUAGGGACCGGGAGAGGCCGGGGGUACUCCCGGGGUAGGGGUAAAAUCCUAUAAUCCCGGGGGGACCACCUGUGGCGAAGGCGCCCGGCUGGAACGGGUCCGACGGUGAGGGACGAAGGCCGGGGGAGCAAACCGG
Molecule: ribosomal RNA, 253 nt
Filed under: uncultured microorganism
Description: partial 16S ribosomal RNA
Rfam family: Archaeal small subunit ribosomal RNA
Source: RNAcentral